CUACGUGCCAGCAGCCGCGGUAAUACGUAGGUCCCGAGCAUUGUCCGGAUUUAUUGGGCGUAAAGCGAGCGCAGGCGGUUAGAUAAGUCUGAAGUUAAAGGCUGUGGCUUAACCAUAGUACGCUUUGGAAACUGUUUAACUUGAGUGCAAGAGGGGAGAGUGGAAUUCCAUGUGUAGCGGUGAAAUGCGUAGAUAUAUGGAGGAACACCGGUGGCGAAAGCGGCUCUCUGGCUUGUAACUGACGCUGAGGCUCGAAAGCGUGGGGAGCAAACAGGAUUAGAUACCCUGGUAGUCCACGCCGUAAACGAUGAGUGCUAGGUGUUAGACCCUUUCCGGGGUUUAGUGCCGUAGCUAACGCAUUAAGCACUCCGCCUGGGGAGUACGACCGCAAGGUUGAAACUCAAAGGAAUUGACGGGGGCCCGCACAAGCGGAGGAACAUGUGGUUUAAUUCGAAGCAACGCGAAGAACCUUACCAGGUCUUGACAUCCCUCUGACCGCUCUAGAGAUAGAGUUUUCCUUCGGGACA
This 527-nucleotide ribosomal RNA is filed under the name uncultured bacterium. RNAcentral's name for it is "bacterial SSU rRNA". It matches the Rfam family "Bacterial small subunit ribosomal RNA", at positions 501 to 1028 of the family's 1533-position model. The record is from RNAcentral.